ACGACCAUAGGGUGUGGAAAACAGGGCUUCCCGUCCGCUCAGCCGUACUUAAGCCACACGCCGGUGAGUUAGUAGUUGGGUGGGUGACCACCAGCGAAUCCUCACUGUUGUAUGUU
Molecule: ribosomal RNA, 116 nt
Filed under: Penicillium chrysogenum
Lineage: Eukaryota; Fungi; Ascomycota; Eurotiomycetes; Eurotiales; Aspergillaceae
Also listed under: 1 other name
Source: RNAcentral